GGGGCUACUCAGCUGGGGGAGCGCCACUUUGCACGCAGGAGGUCUGCGGUUCGAUCCCGUAGCUCCACCA
Molecule: transfer RNA, 70 nt
Filed under: Klebsiella pneumoniae
Lineage: Bacteria; Pseudomonadati; Pseudomonadota; Gammaproteobacteria; Enterobacterales; Enterobacteriaceae
Description: tRNA-Ala
Source: RNAcentral